This 512-nucleotide ribosomal RNA is filed under the name Agama boueti (Mali agama). RNAcentral's name for it is "partial 16S ribosomal RNA". It matches the Rfam family "Bacterial large subunit ribosomal RNA", at positions 1817 to 2600 of the family's 2925-position model. The record is from RNAcentral. Lineage: Eukaryota; Metazoa; Chordata; Lepidosauria; Squamata; Agamidae.
AGCCAUUAGCCAAACAAGUAUUAAAGGUAAUGCCUGCCCAGUGAAGAANNNCACNUCUUUAAAUGGCCACGAGACAUAACCGUGCGAAGGUAGCGAAAUCACUUGUCUCCUAAAUAGAGACCAGUAUGAAUGGCCCCAUGAGAAAGAAACUGUCUCUUGAAGAUAGCCGGUGAAACUGAUCUGCCUGUGCAAAAGCAAGCAUGAUAAAACAAGACAAAAAGACCCUGUGAAACUUAAAAUUAAACGCCAACCACANUGGCACUAUUUUUAGGUUGGGGCAACCAAAGANGAAACAAAACCUCUUNUUACAACAUAGACCCACAAGUCCAAGCACANNNAAACUUGACCCAGUAAAACUGAUUGAUGAACCAAGCUACUCCAGGGAUAACAGCGCCAAAUUCUUGAAGAGUCCACAUCAACAAGAAUACUUACGACCUCGAUGUUGGAUCAGGAUAACCCAAUGGUGCAAAAGCCAAUAAAGGUUCGUUUGUUCAANCGAUUAAUAUCCUACG